This 941-nucleotide ribosomal RNA is filed under the name uncultured archaeon. RNAcentral describes it as "bacterial SSU rRNA". It matches the Rfam family "Archaeal small subunit ribosomal RNA", at positions 1 to 922 of the family's 1478-position model. The record is from RNAcentral.
UUCCGGUUGAUCCUGCCGGACUAACUGCUAUCAGAGUGGGAUAAGCCAUGCGAGUUGAACGUCUUCUAACUGUGGAAGGCGUGGCAAACGGCUCAGUAACACGUAGCUAACCUACCCUAAAGACGAAGAUAACCCCGGGAAACUGGGACUAAUAGUCGAUAGAUCAUGACACCUGGAACGGGUUAUGAUCCAAAAGAGUAGAUGAAUAUGUUCAUCUAUUUGCUUUAAGAUGGGGCUGCGACCGAUCAUGGUUGUUGGUGGGGUAAUGGCCCACCAAGCCUAUAACCGGUACGGGCUUUGAGAGAAGGAGCCCGGAGAUGGACACUGAGAAAAGGGUCUAGGUCCUACGGGGCGCAGCAGGCGCGAAACCUUCGCAAUGUGCGCAAGCACGACGAGGUUACUCUGAGUGUCACCCGCUGAGGGUGACUUUUACUAGGCGUAAAUAAUCUAGAGAAUAAGGGGAGGGCAAGUCUGGUGUCAGCCGCCGCGGUAAUACCAGCUCCCCGAGUGGUUAGGAUGUUUAUUGGGCCUAAAGCAUCCGUAGCCGGUCUUGUAGGUCUUCUGUUAAAUCCACCAGCUCAACUGUUGGGCCGCAGAAGAUACCGCAGGACUAGGAGGCGGGAGAGGUGGACGGUACUUUAUGGGUAGGGGUAAAAUCUUUUGAUCCAUAGAAGACCACCAGUGGCGAAGGCGGUCCACCAGAACGCGCUCGACGGUGAGGGAUGAAAGCUGGGGGAGCGAACCGGAUUAGAUACCCGGGUAGUCCCAGCUGUAAACGAUGCGAGCUAGGUGAUGGGGUGGCUGCGAGCCAUCCCAGUGCCCCAGGGAAGCCGUUAAGCUCGCCGCCUGGGAAGUACGACCGCAAGGUUGAAACUUAAAGGAAUUGGCGGGGGAGCACCACAAGGGGUGAAGCCUGCGGUUCAAUUGGAUUCAACGCCGGG